GACGAACGCUGGCGGCGUGCCUAAUACAUGCAAGUAGAACGCACAGGAUGCACCGUAGUUUACUACACCGUAUUCUGUGAGUUGCGAACGGGUGAGUAACGCGUAGGUAACCUGCCUGGUAGCGGGGGAUAACUAUUGGAAACGAUAGCUAAUACCGCAUAAGAACAUUUACUGCAUGGUAGAUGUUUAAAAGGUGCAAAUGCAUCACUACCAGAUGGACCUGCGUUGUAUUAGCUAGUAGGUGAGGUAACGGCUCACCUAGGCGACGAUACAUAGCCGACCUGAGAGGGUGAUCGGCCACACUGGGACUGAGACACGGCCCAGACUCCUACGGGAGGCAGCAGUAGGGAAUCUUCGGCAAUGGGGGGAACCCUGACCGAGCAACGCCGCGUGAGUGAAGAAGGUUUUCGGAUCGUAAAGCUCUGUUGUUAAGGAAGAACGAGUGUGAGAAUGGAAAGUUCAUACUGUGACGGUACUUAACCAGAAAGGGACGGCUAACUACGUGCCAGCAGCCGCGGUAAUACGUAGGUCCCGAGCGUUGUCCGGAUUUAUUGGGCGUAAAGCGAGCGCAGGCGGUUAGAUAAGUCUGAAGUUAAAGGCAGUGGCUCAACCAUUGUAGGCUUUGGAAACUGUUUAACUUGAGUGCAGAAGGGGAGAGUGGAAUUCCAUGUGUAGCAGUGAAAUGCGUAGAUAUAUGGAGGAACACCGGUGGCGAAAGCGGCUCUCUGGUCUGUAACUGACGCUGAGGCUCGAAAGCGUGGGGAGCGAACAGG
RNAcentral lists this ribosomal RNA (773 nucleotides) under uncultured Streptococcus sp. RNAcentral describes it as "bacterial SSU rRNA". It matches the Rfam family "Bacterial small subunit ribosomal RNA", at positions 28 to 776 of the family's 1533-position model. Lineage: Bacteria; Bacillati; Bacillota; Bacilli; Lactobacillales; Streptococcaceae. The record is from RNAcentral.